CGAUGGUACCUCUCUGGGGCCAAGCCUGGGGCAGAGAGCUUCCCUCUAUACUCCAACUCGCCUGAAUGAGACAAUAAGAAAAUCGGACAACAAAGAGGACUUUCCACUACCCACAUGUCCGACCACAGCAACCAGGGAACCUCGUGGCACACGGAUACUGAUCCUGUCAACAAAGAAAGUCAUUCUACUUUCUGAAGUCAAGUCUUCGAUGUGACUGCACAUCUGCGACAUCAGUCAGCCCCACAGUGUCUCCGUCAGCAGCAGGAAGCUCACGACAGCAGAUGGCUUGCCAUCAUUUUCUCAACUGCCCAAGAACCAGAAGGUGUCUGAAUGAGACGGUGCUGUGAUUACCCUUCGGAGGAAAACCACGCGGGGUGACAGCG
Plectropomus leopardus (leopard coralgrouper) is the source of this 383-nucleotide non-coding RNA. The record is from RefSeq and is a predicted model, not a curated record. Lineage: Eukaryota; Metazoa; Chordata; Actinopteri; Perciformes; Serranidae.